RNAcentral lists this ribosomal RNA (330 nucleotides) under uncultured bacterium. Its description in RNAcentral is "bacterial SSU rRNA". It matches the Rfam family "Bacterial small subunit ribosomal RNA", at positions 568 to 898 of the family's 1533-position model. The record is from RNAcentral.
UCCGUAGGCGGUGUGGCAAGUCGGAAGUGAAAUCUCUGGGCUUAACCCAGAGGCUGCUUCCGAAACUGCCGUGCUAGAGUGCGAGAGAGGCAAGUGGAAUUGCGGGUGUAGCGGUGAAAUGCGUAGAUAUCCGCAGGAACAUCCGAGGCGAAAGCGGCUUGCUGGAUCGCAACUGACGCUGAGGGACGAAAGCUAGGGGAGCAAACAGGAUUAGAUACCCUGGUAGUCCUAGCCCUAAACCAUCAGGACUUGGGGUUUGCCCUGUACGGGGCAAGUCCCGUAGCUAACGCGUUAAGUCCUGCGCCUGGGGAGUACGGUCGCAAGGCUGAA